GUGAAUCAUCGAAUCUUUGAACGCAAAUUGCACUCUCUGGCAUUCCGGAGAGUAUGCCUGUUUGAGGGUCAGUUUAAAUAAAAAUCGAGGUGUUGCUGUUUUGUGACCCAUCGGAAUUGGGUUAUCUUUGACCUUUUAAAAAGUUUAAGUGACCUAAAAUUGAUACCUUGUGCAUCUCAGACGUACAUAAGAAUAUUUUUUUAUCCUUCGGGAUUUCCAAAUUUUUUUUUAGUAAUGGCCAUCUU
RNAcentral lists this unclassified non-coding RNA (245 nucleotides) under Funneliformis geosporum. Its description in RNAcentral is "partial contains 5.8S ribosomal RNA and internal transcribed spacer 2". The stretch from base 1 to 71 matches the Rfam family "5.8S ribosomal RNA", at positions 84 to 154 of the family's 154-position model. Lineage: Eukaryota; Fungi; Glomeromycota; Glomeromycetes; Glomerales; Glomeraceae. The record is from RNAcentral.